UCCUACGGGUGGCUGCAGUGGGGAAUUUUGGACAAUGGGCGCAAGCCUGAUCCAGCCAUGCCGCGUGCGGGAAGAAGGCCUUCGGGUUGUAAACCGCUUUUGUCAGGGAAGAAAUCCCUUGGGCUAAUACCCCGGGGGGAUGACGGUACCUGGAGAAUAAGCACCGGCUAACUACGUGCCAGCAGCCGCGGUAAUACGUAGGGUGCAAGCGUUAAUCGGAAUUACUGGGCGUAAAGCGUGCGCAGGCGGUUGUGCAAGACAGAUGUGAAAUCGCCGGGCUUAACCUGGGAAGUGCAUUUGUGACUGCACGGCUGGAGUGCGGCAGAGGGGGAUGGAAUUCCGCGUGUAGCAGUGAAAUGCGUAGAUAUGCGGAGGAACACCGAUGGCGAAGGCAAUCCCCUGGGCCUGCACUGACGCUCAUGCACGAAAGCGUGGGGAGCAAACAGGAUUAGAUACCCUGGUAGUCAAA
Molecule: ribosomal RNA, 469 nt
Filed under: uncultured Comamonadaceae bacterium
Lineage: Bacteria; Pseudomonadati; Pseudomonadota; Betaproteobacteria; Burkholderiales; Comamonadaceae
Description: bacterial SSU rRNA
Rfam family: Bacterial small subunit ribosomal RNA
Source: RNAcentral